Nymphaea colorata (pocket water lily) is the source of this 2931-nucleotide RNA transcript. It is a transcript of the gene named pentatricopeptide repeat-containing protein At3g02650, mitochondrial, with no coding region annotated. The record is from RefSeq and is a predicted model, not a curated record. Lineage: Eukaryota; Viridiplantae; Streptophyta; Magnoliopsida; Nymphaeales; Nymphaeaceae. The transcript has 3 exons.
UUGCGAAGGGUGGAGAUGAAAGAUAAUGGGGAGCUGCCAUUGUUUCCUUGUGUUCUACUUGUUGACAGAGAUGAUACAAGUAAGCUAUUGACAACUUGGUUAUCAGCGGAUCCGAGUCACAGACGUAUUGACAACUAUGCAGUAAACAGCAAACUAUUGACAGGAAGACUGAACGAACGUGUCCUCCCUAGCGCAGUCAAGAACAAAGAGCAGAAAAACCCUAACCCCUUUGGCAAGAGGAGAGAGAGAGUGGGGGAGAGGGGGACGGGGAGAGAGAUGUGGAGGUUGUCGGCGAGGGAUCUGUUGCGGAGGGCUUCAAUCAGGAGGAAAUGGGCUGCAGAGGUAAUCACCAUCCGACCAACACUCAUUUCAACUUCUUUUCCAUCGCUUGAUCCCUUGAGAGACGCUACCCAGUCUAAUCCCUUUGUACCAAGUCAUCGGUUUCUCUCUCUAGAAAGCCAACGCAUCGAAUCAGUUGCAUCCGGAGAUGCAAGUUCCCCUGUCGGUGGUGAUCACAGAGGUCCAAGCUGUCACUCGGAAGAAUCACGCUUUACAGAUACCGCUGUUAGCAAUUCCGUCAAUAUCGACGAUGAGGAAGAAGGGAGAAAUGAUGGGGGUGGCCGAAAAAGUAGCUUGUUAUUUGACGAAGGCGCCAGGGAAAGGUUGCCCGAGGAAAACCCAACUACAGAAACCCUAGGAAACAAGAUAGAAGAUAAUCCUUCUGAGGGAGUCACAGACAACACAUUCGAGGAGCCCAUAGAGCGCCCAUUGGAUGACGGGGCAGAGAACCAAAUUGAAGGAACUCUAGAAAGUCCACUAGAGGUUAGUGAAGAACAAGUUCAGAGCGUUCUGUCGAUUCUCCAGAGCACUUCGGAUGGGUCGAUUGAAUCGUCGCUGGACGGGAUAGAUGUGGACUUGAGCGAGGAGUUUGUCCUUCGUGUUUUAGGAGAACCCCAUAUUAUGACUCAGAGUCUCGUUGCGUUCUUCAAAUGGGCUUCGACGAAAACGGAACUCACGGAAAAGGCUACAGCUAUCGAGCUUUUGGUUUGUGCACUUGGUGUAAAUCUUAGGAAGAAUGACGCGUAUUCCUUGUGGGAUUUUAUCAAAGAAUCAAUGGAGAAAGAUAAGAGCUCAGUGAGUACCAAAGCUCUCAAGGAGUUGAUUUCAGUGUUUAGGAGAUUAGGAAAAGCUAGGGCUGCACUGGAAGUGUUCAACAAGUUUGAUGAUUAUGGCUAUGACCGGGACCCGGACACUUAUUACUUUACAAUCGACGCAUUAUGCUGUCGAAAGAUGUAUGAUGAUGCAUGGUUGCUUUGUGAGGAGAUGCUUAAUUUAGGAAAGCUUCCAGGUGGUCAGAAAAUCGGCGAGCUGAUCGUUUAUUUCUGCAGGGGAGGCAGAGCAAAGGAUGCUCAUUUGAUUUACUUGGUGGCAAAAGAGAAGAACAUACAAUUGCAAAAGUCUGUUGUUAGUUUCUUGGUCAGUAGUCUCUGUAGGGAUGAUAAGACGGUUCAUUUAGGCGAGGAGAUACUAAAUGAUUUUGUUGGAGAUGCUAGGAAAUAUGCAAUUAAGCCAUUCUCAUCUGUCAGUCGGGGACUUUGUAGGAUUAAAGAUCUUGAUUCGGCUAAAAGUUUAUUGCUUAAGAUGGUAGAUAUGGGUCCUCCACCUGGUAACCCAGUAUUCAAUUCCGUCAUCAAUGGGCUUUCUAGAACUGGGAAGCUGGAAGAGGCAAUUGCAAUGAUGAGACUGAUGGAGACGAGAGGGUUGAGACCAGAUGUUUAUACUUACACCGUUAUUUUGGGUGGAUUUGCAAAGAACGGUCAAAUGGACGAAGCCUGCAAGUAUUUCUCAGAGGCAAAACAGAGACAUUCUAAGCUCACACCUGUUACUUAUCAUGCUAUGAUUCGUGGAUACGUGAAGCUGGAGAAUUAUGACAAGGCAGUCGAGCUUUUGAAUGAGAUGAAGGAGUAUGGGGUUUCCCCAACUACUGAUGAGUACACAAAGCUGAUCCAGUCACUUUGCAAAAAAGCACUGGACUGGAAAACGGCAGAGAAGCUAUUGGAGGACAUGAAAAAGAAUGGACAGCAUCUCGAUGGGCUGACUAGCAGCCUUGUGGCUGCAGUCAAGGAAUUGUUUGAGGAAGAAGUGAAUUUUGGAAGUGAAAGCAUCGAAGUUCCAUCAUAACUAAAAGAAUUUUCAUUUUGCUUGUUUGUUUAGACUUGGAGUUCUUCACAUGUAUGAGAGACAUUGCCUUGGAGAGAAGGCUUCAGAUCACUCAAAGCAUGUUUUGGAGUAAUUCAGGCUGUUUGCGGUUCUUUUCACUGGUCAUCCACGAGGAAGUGAAAUUGUUCCACUGUUACUGCUGGCAAAUGGGAUGGAGAGUGUUGCUACUCCGUGAUUGGCACCAGGGAGAGAAUUUGCACUGACGUGAGUAAAGCUUCUAUAUGCUUAACUUAGUCUUUAUCUUCCUGGUCAGAUAUUUUGGGAAACCGCUGUCUCAUCUCUUUCCCUCACCCACCACUGAGCUCCUCCGGUGACUAAUUCUCUCUCUCUCUCUCUCUCUCUCUCUCUUAGCUGUGUCAGCGCAACGUCUAAAAGCUGGACGGACAUCUGGUUUUUAACAAUGUUCUGAGGAAAUAAUUUUCACUUGCGUCGGAUCUUGUCUUUACCUUCUUGCAGCAAUGGAUCUAUAUUGCACACAAAUUGGUCAUGGUGCAUUUUAUCAAUUCCACAUGCGACGCUUGAAUCUUUGUAACUUCUACUGGGAGGAGAUCUUUUGGUUUUGUUUGUUCUUUGUUUAUUGAGAUGGAAACAAUUCGAUCUUCUCAUAGCACUAUAUGUAAUUGGAUGAGAUAGAUGUCUCUUAUGUGUAAUGCUGUGCCGCUGCAAAAAAAUGUUCCUUUGUGCGGACAUAAAUUUUGGUUAGUGUCUCUU